Molecule: long non-coding RNA, 4827 nt
Organism: Anolis carolinensis (green anole)
Lineage: Eukaryota; Metazoa; Chordata; Lepidosauria; Squamata; Anolidae
Exons: 2
Source: RefSeq, a predicted model, not a curated record
UUCCAGAGUGCUCUACAGGAGCUUCAAACAUCACAUUCAAAAUUAAGAAUCUGUGACUGAGAAUUGCAAACUGGAUCCUAAAGUGAAUAUCAGCAACCAUGUUUCUGUUUAAAUUGAUCAAAAAUGCACUGAAUCAUUUUGAGACUGGUAUACUGCAGACCAGAGCUUGUAACCAUUACUUUCUUGAACUUCAAUACCUACAAUACCCAAGUUAGCUUGAUUGUUUACAUCAUUGAGCUUUAAGAUGGGUUCUGGAGACUGAGAGUUGGCAUAGUCAUAUCCUGGACAUUGUGGUUGAUUUUUAAUAAAGGAAUAUCCUUACUGCAUGAUUUGGAAUUUUGACUUUUUCUAACUCCUGAACCACCAACCUGGUGUUUAUGUUUAAUUGGAAUAGCCAAGCAACAAAAAAAUUUGCUUUGUUAGGCGAGGAUGAUAGUUUUUAAACUUUACUAAUGAAUUCUUAUUCUUAUAAGUUAAUUGAUUUAUACCACAUGUCUAAAUAUUUGUACUUAGAAAUGCACCAUAAUUAAUGGAGCUUAGUCCCAGAUAAAUGAGUAUGGGAUUGUAAACUUAUUUAAAUGUGCAGAUAUUUAAUAUGAAGAAUUAAAUGCAAAACCUUAAUGUUAGGAUUACAAAUUAAUUUGCCAGUAUUUUUCAUUAGAAAUUGUGAGAAACAUUUUCUUGCUGUUUCUUUGUUCCUAUCAAGGGAGGAAGAUUUAACAUUUUUCUUAAAUCCAUGAGGUAGCUGGCAGAUGCGAACAAGUCAUUCCACAUGGAUACAUUUUUUGCAGUCCUAAUUCUUCUUUGGGCCACCAUGUUUUGCAGGAUCUGUCUGAGAAAAAGUCACCAUCUAAUGAAUUUUAACCACCCAAAAAGUGAGGCAUUGUAAACUACUUUCCAGGACAAAGCAGGCCUUUAAUAAAGGAAACUGAAAUGGAAAUUUGUAAGCAGGGGGGCUCAUUGUGGCUUCUUCUUCUUUUGUGUUUGACAAUCCUCUGAUGUUAUUGUGCUUCUACCUCAAGAGACAGAAUAAUAACACAGAGCUGGAAGGUAAGCCUCAUUGUCUUGUAUCUGUUUAAAGUUGCUAGCUAAUUGAAAUGGUGCAGAAGCCGGGUCUUCAAGCAGGUUCCUCUCCAAUGUUCCUUCUUUUGUGAUUUGUAGGACUUUUCUUCAUCGCUUGGUUGCAAAAAACAUCUGGUUCAGCUUUUGAGAAAUAUUUGUAGCCAUUGCACAUCAGGGUUUAAUUACUGCCUCUGAAACAUUAAUGGAUGCCAUACUGUACUAAUAGAUUUUAUCUUCACUGUUUUAUAUCUAUGAAGUGUAACUGACAAAUGGGAGCCUUGUUUAGCAGGGACUUUAAUAACAGCAGCUAUUUACUGAAGAACUAUGUGCUGAGUGAGUUCAAAUGAUGGGCAACACUCAAAAGGACUGGGAUUUGGUUUUGAACUUGCAAACACACAUUGCAAUUGUGUAAUGCUAUAGACUUGUGCUCAGAAGGCAGUCUGGCGAAUGGUUAAAAGGCAUUUCUUGUCAGAGGCAGUUCUGUCAUGCAAAUGCAAAAUGUGAACAUUUGUUUAGUUACCUUGAGUCAUGAUCACUCCUGCCAUGAUGAACACUAACACUGGAAGGAGUUACAACCAUAUGAUCAAACACAGACAACUCUAUGUCAUAUGAACACCCCUUUCUUUAAAAGACUAUUAAGUGAUAACCUUUCUCCCUCACAUCCUUUCUCACCUUCUUUAUAUUCUUUGGAAGCAUCAGCAGGAAGGUCACAAAAUGCUGGCUGACAUUACAGCAUGACACAGCUGUUCCAGUUUGCAGGCAAGAGUUCUAUAUUAGCUUGGUUGCCCUAUUCUAUUAUGUGAUGUAAAGAACAUGCUGCAAGUGAAAUCACAGCUUUCUAUUGUUCAACUAAGCAUUCUCAACCAAUGACAAAAAUAGAAGACCUUACUUGUACAUAGUUCUGCCUGUCCAUCUCAAUUCCACAGAACUCUGGAUCAUUGUAAUAAUGGUUAAGAUGUUAUACAGGGAACACGUGAAAAUUGAAAUGACAAGACAGCACAUACUAAAAUAAAAAAAAUUCAAGGGAGCCAAAAGCAGGCAUUCUAUUAGUGACAUCUUCAUCUUGGAAAGAAGUGACGAGUGGAGUGCCGCAGGGUUCCGUCCUGGGCCCGGUUCUGUUCAACAUCUUUAUUAACGACUUAGACAAAGGAUUAGAAGGCACGAUCAUCAAGUUUGCAGAUGACACCAAACUGGGAGGGAGUGUCUUCUAACACUCCAGAAGACAGGAGCAGAAUUCAAAACGAUCUUAACAGACUAGAGAGAUGGGCUGAAACUAACAAAAUGAAGUUCAACAGGAACAAAUGCAAGGUACUUCACUUCGGCAGAAAAAAUGGAAUGCAAAGAUACAGAAUGGGGGACGCCUGGCUCAACAGCAGUACGUGUGAAAAAGAGUCCUCGUGGACAACAAGUUAAACAUGAGCCAACAUGAGCCAACAAUGUGAUGUGGCUGCUAAAAAGCCAACGGGAUUCUGGCCUGCAUAAAUAGGGGUAUAGCAUCUAGAUCCAGGGAAAUCAUGCUACCCCUCUAUUCUGCCUUGGAAUACUGUGUCCAAUUCUGGGCACCGCAAUUGAAGGGAGAUGUUGACAAGCUGGAAAGCAUCCAGAGGAGGGCAACUAAAGUGAUCAAGGCUCUGGAGAACAAGCCCUAUGAGGACAGGCUUAAAGAACUGGGCAUGUUUAGCCUGCAGAAGAGAAGGCUGAGAGGAGACAUGAUAGCCAUGUACAAAUACAUGAAGAGAAGUCAUAGGGAGGAGGGAGCAAACUUGUUUUCUGCUGCCCUGCAGACUAGGAUGCGGAACAAUGGCUUCAAACUACAGGAAAGGAGAUUCCACCUGAACAUCAGGAAGAACUUCCUCACUGUGAGGGCUGCUUGGCAGUGGAACUCUCUGCCCUGGACUGUGGUGGAGGCUCCUUCUUUGGAGGCUUUUAAGCAGAGGCUGGAUGGCCAUUUGUCGGGGGUGCUUUGAAUGCAAUGUCCUGCUUCUUGGAAGGGGGUUGGACUGGAUGGCCCAUGAGGUCUCUUCCAACUCUACUAUUCUAUGAUUCUAUUAUUCUUUAUCAUAUGAAAACAUAAGUUAAGCUGCAUAUGUCUUUUAUGGUCAUUGUGGAGGUUGGUGUUCUCUUUAUGUGUCACAAUGACCAAAGCCUAACUGGUGGAUCUUGGUGGAAGAUCAGUCUGUGUCUCUCUAUGGAGCAUAGUCAAAUGCUUAUCUGAUGCCAUUCCUCACUAUUUCCCAGCCAUGGAAUUCAGGUGCUAUCACAGCAAAACAAUGAGUCUUUGAUGUGGGAGAAACUAUAGGAGAGUUCUUCUUGAGCAACACUUGUACUUUGCUGAGCAAUGUAGGUCAAACUUUGAUAGAGAAGCAUAUUUACCCCACCAUAAAGCAUCCAGGACUGGUCAGAAAGCAUUUCACUUUAACUAUGGAGUGAGGGAGCAUGGUCUGUGUAGGGUAUUUAAGUCAGCCAUGCACACUUCUCUUCUUUGAAAUUCAUUGGAGCUGGUAGCAACAUCAAUUGCUACUUCAGAUUUUGGGGAUUUCAGAAAUUGUAGCUUAUUGGAUUUGUAUUCUGCUGUCUUUUACAUUAUUCUCUGGGUCAGUUUAAUUGGUUUACAAUUUGAUUGAUUUAAUUGUUUGGAUAUUUAGUUCAGGGUGUUUUUUUUUUAUUGGGAGGGAAUUUAGGAGGACUGAGUGGGGGAUUUUUUGCCUGAAACCUUGCCAUGGCAUUACUGUUUUUCCUUUUUUUGUUUUCUUCUGAUUACCUGCCCCCCCUUUCCUCUCUGUUUCGUUUAGUUGCCACAUGUAAACAGGGGUGUGCCACUCACAGCUGUGUGACACUCUUGGCUUGUAGCACUUACCACUUACCACUCCAGCUGUUUUCUGCUUUCUCACACACAGGUCUGGCUGCUUAAGAGUGGUGCUUUGCCUUGCAACUGUGCUUUAUGCAACUCUGGCUACUGGUUGCCUCUCUCAUGGCUUCGGAUGCUUUCUACCUCUCUCGCGCCUUCUCAUAUAUGGCCCUUUAUGUGGCUUGCAGCUUCAUCAGUGGGUCCAGCUGCUUGCCUCUCCCAUGACUCGCAUGCGGCUCCGGCUGUCGGGGAAGUCUGUUCUCCCUUCUUGGACUGCAAGAAGAUCAAACCAGUCCAUACUACAGGAAAUAAAGCCCGACUGCUCAAUGGAGGGAAGGAUAUUAGAGGCAAAGAUGAAGUCCUUUGGCCACAUAAUGAGAAGACAGGAAAGCUUGGAGAAGAGAAUGAUGCUGGGGAAAAUGGAAGGAAAAAGGAAGAGGGGCUGACCAAGGGCAAGAUGAAUGGAUGAUAUCCUUGAAGUGACUAGCUUGACCUUGAAGGACCUGGGGGUGGCGACAGCUGACAGAGAGCUCUGGUCCAUGAGGUCACCAAGAGUCGGAAGCGACUGAACGACUGAACAACAACAAGAUAUCUGUGGGUGGGGAUUAAUCUCAUGUUCUUGGGGCUGGUUUUGUGGCCUUUGCCCUAGUUAGAAGUCAAAGUGACUUUGGGAGCUUAUACCCUUUGACUAACCUUCCAGGAUACGAGCUGGACCUUUGAGCAACCAUGUGAAUCAGGGAUUUCUUUUAGGGGCUUUGGUGUUUUGCCCUAUGGGAGUUUGGGGGCUCGAGUCAGGGGUGACCAACUACCUCAGCCACUUCCAUAUGAGAUCACUUACCCAAAUGAUUAUUUGCUAUCUUCAAGAAAAUGCAUAAAAUAGGAAACUAAUUAAUAAAAGUUAUCCUUUGUUCAAUCUA